UGAGGAAUAUUGGUCAAUGGCCGAGAGGCUGAACCAGCCAAGUCGCGUGAGGGAAGAAUGUCCUAAGGAUUGUAAACCUCUUUUGCCGGGGAGCAAAGGCGCCACGCGUGGCGAGCUGAGAGUACCCGGAGAAAAAGCAUCGGCUAACUCCGUGCCAGCAGCCGCGGUAAUACGGAGGAUGCGAGCGUUAUCCGGAUUUAUUGGGUUUAAAGGGUGCGUAGGCGGUCUGUCAAGUCAGCGGUCAAAUCGAGGGGCUCAACCCCUUUCCGCCGUUGAAACUGGCGGGCUUGAGUGGGCGAGAAGUAUGCGGAAUGCGAGGUGUAGCGGUGAAAUGCAUAGAUAUCACGCAGAACUCCGAUUGCGAAGGCAGCAUACCGGCGCCCGACUGACGCUGAGGCACGAAAGCGUGGGGAUCGAACAGG
Molecule: ribosomal RNA, 422 nt
Filed under: uncultured bacterium
Lineage: Bacteria
Description: bacterial SSU rRNA
Rfam family: Bacterial small subunit ribosomal RNA
Source: RNAcentral